Molecule: small nuclear RNA, 108 nt
Organism: Callithrix jacchus (white-tufted-ear marmoset)
Lineage: Eukaryota; Metazoa; Chordata; Mammalia; Primates; Cebidae
Source: Ensembl
GUGCUCACUUUGGCAGCACAUAUACUAAAAAUUGGAACGAUACAGAGAAGAUUGGCAUGGCCCCUGCGCAAGGAUGACACGCAAAUUUGUGAAGCGUUCCAUAUUUUU